RNAcentral lists this ribosomal RNA (1349 nucleotides) under Glugea sp. CSl-2020a. RNAcentral's name for it is "SSU rRNA". It matches the Rfam family "Microsporidia small subunit ribosomal RNA". Lineage: Eukaryota; Fungi; Microsporidia; Glugeidae. The record is from RNAcentral.
ACCAGGUUGAUUCUGCCUGACGUGGAUGCUAGUCUCAUAGGUUAAGCCAUGCAUGUGCAAGCGAAGCGUAAGUGGAGCGGCGCAAGGCUCAGUAACGGGCGAGUAUUUGAUCUCCUAGAGUGGAUAUCCUCUGUAACCGGAGGGCAAAACACAAGAUGAGCGAUUGACGAGGUCGUUCGUUUAACGAAUAGUGUAGGAGAGUAAGAAGCCAUCCCAUCAGUUAGUAAGUAGGGUAAGGGCCUACUUAGACGAAGACGGGUACGGGGAAUUAUCGUUUGAUUCCGGAGAGGGAGCCUGAGAGACGGCUACCAGGUCCAAGGACAGCAGCAGGCGCGAAAAUUACCGCAGCCUGCAUUCAGGGCGGUAGUAAGGAGACGUGAAAACAAUGUGCGGGCAAAAAACGCACUAGAUACAGGAGGACAAGACUGGUGCCAGCACCCGCGGUAAUACCAGCUCCUGGAGUGUCUAUGAUGAUUGCUGCAGUUAAAGAGUUCGUAGUCGAAGUGGUUAUAACGGUGUAACAGGCCUUCUCUCAAGGAGGGUUAUGCGCCGUGAUUCCAUGGAAUAAGGAGCGUUUAGGGGCCAGGUUAUUAAGCGACGAGGGGUGAAAUCUGGUGACUCGCUUAGGAGCAACAGAGGCGAAAGCGCUGGCCAGGAGCGAAUCCGAUGAUAAAGGACGUAGGCUAGAGGAUCGAAGACGAUUAGAGACCGUUGUAGUUCUAGCAGUAAACGAUGCCGAUACCGUGGUGCGGAUACGCGACGCGGAAGAGAAAUCGAGUAGGGCCCUGGGGAGAGUACACGCGCAAGCGAGAAAUUUAAAGGAAAUUGACGGAAGAACACCACAAGGAGUGGAGUGUGCGGCUUAAUUUGACUCAACGCGGGACAGCUUACCAGGCCCGACGGCCGGACGAGUGUUGUACACGAUAGGUCGAAGAGUGGUGCAUGGCCGUUAACGACGAGUGAGGUGACUUUUGGGUUAAAUCCGGGAAGUAGUGAGACCCCCUACCGAAAGGGACAGGUGCCGAAAGCACAGGAAGGAAGGGUCAAGAACAGGUCAGUGAUGCCCUCAGAUGGUCUGGGCUGCACGCGCACUACAGUGGUCAUAGAAAUGAAACGAUAGAAUUAAAGAUGAUCGAGAGGGAAUGAGCUUUGUAAGAGGCUCAGGAACGAGGAAUUGCUAGUAAUCGCGGACUCAUUAAGACGCGAUGAAUACGUCCCUGUUCUUUGUACACACCGCCCGUCGUUAUCGAAGAUGGAGUCAGGCGCGAACAAGCGAGAGCGAGUGAGUGCAGGAUUCUAGAUGUGAUACAAGUCGUAACAAGGUAACCAUCUUUUCUAGAAAGAUCCCC